UUAGGGAUAAGGGGUGCCACCAUCAGGUGGCCGCAGAGAAUAGGCCCAAGCGACUGUUUACCAAAAACAUAGGUUUCUGCUAAGUCGCAAGACGAUGUAUAGGAGCUGACGCCUGCCCGGUGCUGGACGGUUAAGGGGAUCUGUUAGAGUAAUCGAAGCAGUGAACUUAAGCCCCAGUAAACGGCGGCCGUAACUAUAACGGUCCUAAGGUAGCGAAAUUCCUUGUCGGGUAAGUUCCGACCCGCACGAAAGGCGUAACGAUUUGGGCACUGUCUCAACAACCGACUCGGUGAAAUUGUAAUUCCGGUGAAGAUGCCGGAUACCUGCGACAGGACGGAAAGACCCCAUGGAGCUUUACUGUAGCUUGACAUUGGGUCUUGGUACUACAUGUACAGGAUAGGUGGGAGGCUUUGAAACCAGGACGCCAGUUUUGGCGGAGCCAUCCUUGGGAUACCACCCUUGUAGUACUGGGACUCUAACCAUAGGCCAUGAAUCUGGUCUUGGGACACUGUCAGGUGGGCAGUUUGACUGGGGCGGUCGCCUCCCAAAAGG
RNAcentral lists this ribosomal RNA (552 nucleotides) under Clostridioides difficile. Its description in RNAcentral is "bacterial LSU rRNA". It matches the Rfam family "Bacterial large subunit ribosomal RNA", at positions 1735 to 2297 of the family's 2925-position model. The record is from RNAcentral. Lineage: Bacteria; Bacillati; Bacillota; Clostridia; Peptostreptococcales; Peptostreptococcaceae.